UAGCCCACUGGAGACACUGCAGCAGUGGGUGAAGUUGUACUGCAGGGACCUAGACCUUGAGACGCGACAGAAGGCAGCAGCCAUGGAGAGGAGGCUCCAGGCGGCUUCUUCAGGCUCAGGCAAGUGGGGCCUUCUUCACCUGCGGAAUUGCCCUGGGCUCUGGGCCCUGACUAACACUCCAGCAUAGGGGGCAGAGAGAGAGUCUGGUAACUGUCUCAUGAUGCAUUCUCCCUCCUACAGCCUCCCCAGCCUCCUGGACCAUCCCAAGUAACCACCUGUUUGAUCCUGAGACCUCUCCUCCCUCAAGCCCCUGCCCAGAACCCCCUUGGCACACUCCUAGGUCCUCAGAGGCCUCUCUAGCCUGCACCAGGGUUUCCCCACAGCAGGCUGCAUCAGUUGUGGCAAGGCCUCGAAGGAGCAGGCAUAGGUUGGCCAGCAGCAGCAGCUCAGAGGGGGAGGACAGUGCUGGGCCCCAAAUGCCAUCCCAGAAGAGGCCAAGGUGCUUUGCCCCAGCACAACGGGAUGAGGCCAGGACAGCUUGCCCUGCCAGCAUCAGGGAGGCGAGUACAGUGAGUGCUGGCCAGGCAGCCUAUCAGGCAGCCAUCCGAGGUGUGGGCAGUGCCCAGAGCCGCUGCCUCAGGCAGGGCCCUUGGGGCCCAGGUGAAGCCCCUACACCCCAGACAGCACUCAUUCCGGAGGAGGAAUACCUGGCUGGAGACUGGCUGGAAUUGGACACACCCCUGCCCCGCAGCCGCCCAUUCCGCCUGCCCCGCCCCCAGGGCAGUGGGGACAGCAACAGGCCCAGUACUGUAGGGCCAGACGAUGAGGAACACCCUGCCAGGCCCCGAACCCGGACCAGGCAGAGCCGCCUGACCUGUCUUGAGAGUUGCAGCACACUGGACAGAGCUGGAGGCAGCAGCUUGGCUGCAGAGCUCUCAGAGAAUCCCAAUGUGCUCAGGGUCCCUGGGGAAAGCCCUGCAACAGGCCAGCCCUCGGUGGGUGACAAGCUGGUAGCAGAGCUAACCCCCAGCUUGGGCAGGUGGAGAUGGAGGCCUCUGUCUUUCCUGACUGCCCUGUCCCCUGUUCCUCCUAUCAGGGUCUAGUACAGCCUCCUCCCAUCCGGAUUCGAGUUCAAGUUCAGGAUAACCUU
This 1150-nucleotide long non-coding RNA is filed under the name Marmota monax (woodchuck). The record is from RNAcentral. Lineage: Eukaryota; Metazoa; Chordata; Mammalia; Rodentia; Sciuridae.